AGCGCUGGCGGCAGGCCUAACACAUGCAAGUCGAGCGGCAGCACGGGGACUUGUACCUGGUGGCGAGCGGCGGACGGGUGAGUAAUGCCUAGGAAUCUGCCUGGUAGUGGGGGAUAACGCUCGGAAACGGACGCUAAUACCGCAUACGUCCUACGGGAGAAAGCAGGGGACCUUCGGGCCUUGCGCUAUCAGAUGAGCCUAGGUCGGAUUAGCUAGUUGGUGAGGUAAUGGCUCACCAAGGCGACGAUCCGUAACUGGUCUGAGAGGAUGAUCAGUCACACUGGAACUGAGACACGGUCCAGACUCCUACGGGAGGCAGCAGUGGGGAAUAUUGGACAAUGGGCGAAAGCCUGAUCCAGCCAUGCCGCGUGUGUGAAGAAGGUCUUCGGAUUGUAAAGCACUUUAAGUUGGGAGGAAGGGCAUUUACCUAAUACGUAAGUGUUUUGACGUUACCGACAGAAUAAGCACCGGCUAACUCUGUGCCAGCAGCCGCGGUAAUACAGAGGGUGCAAGCGUUAAUCGGAAUUACUGGGCGUAAAGCGCGCGUAGGUGGUUUGUUAAGUUGGAUGUGAAAUCCCCGGGCUCAACCUGGGAACUGCAUUCAAAACUGACAAGCUAGAGUAUGGUAGAGGGUGGUGGAAUUUCCUGUGUAGCGGUGAAAUGCGUAGAUAUAGGAAGGAACACCAGUGGCGAAGGCGACCACCUGGACUGAUACUGACACUGAGGUGCGAAAGCGUGGGGAGCAAAC
RNAcentral lists this ribosomal RNA (748 nucleotides) under uncultured bacterium. RNAcentral's name for it is "bacterial SSU rRNA". It matches the Rfam family "Bacterial small subunit ribosomal RNA", at positions 32 to 773 of the family's 1533-position model. The record is from RNAcentral.